GACGAACGCUGGCGGCGUGCCUAACACAUGCAAGUCGAACGGAAAGGCCCUGCUUUUUUGGGGUGCUCGAGUGGCGAACGGGUGAGUUACACGUGAGUAACCUUCCCUUGACUUUGGGAUAACUUCAGGCAACUGGUGCUAAUACCGGCUAGGAGCUCCUGCUGCAUGGUGGGCGUUGGACAGUUUAGGCGGUUGGGGAUGGACUCGCGGCUUAUCAGCUUGUUGGUGGGGUAGUGGCUUACCAAGUCUUUGACGGGUAGCCGGCCUGAGAGGGUGGCCGGCGACAUGGGGACUGAGAUACGGCGCAGACUCGAACGGGAGGCAACAGUGGGGAAUAUGAUACAGUGGGCGGAAGCCUGAGGCGACAACGCCACGUGCGGGAAGACAGCCAUCGGGUGGGAAACCGCUUUAGCCUGAGACGAAGCGUUAGUGACGGUAAUGGGUAAAGAAGCACCGGCUAACUACGUG
RNAcentral lists this ribosomal RNA (468 nucleotides) under uncultured bacterium. RNAcentral describes it as "partial 16S ribosomal RNA". It matches the Rfam family "Bacterial small subunit ribosomal RNA", at positions 28 to 507 of the family's 1533-position model. The record is from RNAcentral.